This 775-nucleotide ribosomal RNA is filed under the name uncultured bacterium. RNAcentral describes it as "bacterial SSU rRNA". It matches the Rfam family "Bacterial small subunit ribosomal RNA", at positions 8 to 794 of the family's 1533-position model. The record is from RNAcentral.
AGAGUUUGAUCAUGGCUCAGGAUGAACGCUAGCGGCAGGCUUAAUACAUGCAAGUCAAGGGGGUAGCAAUNCAACCGGCGCACGGGUGAGUAACGCGUACACAACAUGCCAUAUACUGGGGUAUAGCUUCGGGAAACUGAAGGUAAUCCCCCAUAACAUUGCGAGAGGGCAUCCGAUAGCAAUUAAAGUUUCGGCGGUAUAUGAUUGGUGUGCGUUUGAUUAGCUAGUUGGUAGGGUAACGGCCUACCAAGGCGACGAUCAAUAGCUGGCGUGAGAGCGCGACCAGCCACACUGGAACUGAGACACGGUCCAGACUCCUACGGGAGGCAGCAGUAGGGAAUAUUGGACAAUGGGCGCAAGCCUGAUCCAGCCAUGCCGCGUGAUAGAUGAAGGCCCUCUGGGUUGUAAAUAUCUUUUAUCUGGGAAGAAACUCCUCUAUUCUUAGAGGCCUGACGGUACCAGAGGAAUAAGCACCGGCUAACUCCGUGCCAGCAGCCGCGGUAAUACGGAGGGUGCAAGCGUUAUCCGGAUUCACUGGGUUUAAAGGGUGCGUAGGCGGGCUGAUAAGUCAGUGGUGAAAGCUCCGAGCUUAACUUGGAAACUGCCAUUGAUACUGCCAGUCUUGAAUGUCGUAGAGGUAAGCGGAAUGUUGCAUGUAGCGGUGAAAUGCUUAGAUAUGUUACAGAACACCAAUUGCGAAGGCAGCUUACUAUGCGAUGAUUGACGCUGAGGCACGAAAGCGUGGGGAGCAAACAGGAUUAGAUACCCCGGUAGU